GAUGAACGCUGGCGGCGUACCUAAUACAUGCAAGUCGAGCGAACAGACGAGGAGCUUGCUCCUCUGACGUUAGCGGCGGACGGGUGAGUAACACGUGGAUAACCUACCUAUAAGACUGGGAUAACUUCGGGAAACCGGAGCUAAUACCGGAUAAUAUAUUGAACCGCAUGGUUCAAUAGUGAAAGACGGUUUUGCUGUCACUUAUAGAUGGAUCCGCGCCGCAUUAGCUAGUUGGUAAGGUAACGGCUUACCAAGGCGACGAUGCGUAGCCGACCUGAGAGGGUGAUCGGCCACACUGGAACUGAGACACGGUCCAGACUACUACGGGAGGCAGCAGUAGGGAAUCUUCCGCAAUGGGCGAAAGCCUGACGGAGCAACGCCGCGUGAGUGAUGAAGGUCUUCGGAUCGUAAAACUCUGUUAUUAGGGAAGAACAAAUGUGUAAGUAACUAUGCACGUCUUGACGGUACCUAAUCAGAAAGCCACGGCUAACUACGUG
This 497-nucleotide ribosomal RNA is filed under the name uncultured bacterium. RNAcentral describes it as "partial 16S ribosomal RNA". It matches the Rfam family "Bacterial small subunit ribosomal RNA", at positions 28 to 507 of the family's 1533-position model. The record is from RNAcentral.